UGGCUCACCAAGGCGACGACGGGUAGCCGGCCUGAGAGGGUGACCGGCCACACUGGGACUGAGACACGGCCCAGACUCCUACGGGAGGCAGCAGUGGGGAAUAUUGCACAAUGGGCGCAAGCCUGAUGCAGCGACGCCGCGUGAGGGAUGACGGCCUUCGGGUUGUAAACCUCUUUCAGUAGGGAAGAAGCGAAAGUGACGGUACCUGCAGAAGAAGCGCCGGCUAACUACGUGCCAGCAGCCGCGGUAAUACGUAGGGCGCAAGCGUUAUCCGGAAUUAUUGGGCGUAAAGAGCUCGUAGGCGGUUUGUCGCGUCUGCCGUGAAAGUCCGGGGCUCAACUCCGGAUCUGCGGUGGGUACGGGCAGACUAGAGUGAUGUAGGGGAGACUGGAAUUCCUGGUGUAGCGGUGAAAUGCGCAGAUAUCAGGAGGAACACCGAUGGCGAAGGCAGGUCUCUGGGCAUUAACUGACGCUGAGGAGCGAAAGCAUGGGGAGCGAACAGGAUUAGAUACCCUGGUAGUCCAUGCCGUAAACGUUGGGCACUAGGUGUGGGGGACAUUCCACGUUUUCCGCGCCGUAGCUAACGCAUUAAGUGCCCCGCCUGGGGAGUACGGCCGCAAGGCUAAAACUCAAAGGAAUUGACGGGGGCCCGCACAAGCGGCGGAGCAUGCGGAUUAAUUCGAUGCAACGCGAAGAACCUUACCAAGGCUUGACAUGAACCGGUAAUACCUGGAAACAGGUGCCCCGCUUGCGGCCGGUUUACAGGUGGUGCAUGGUUGUCGUCAGCUCGUGUCGUGAGAUGUUGGGUUAAGUCCCGCAACGAGCGCAACCCUCGUUCUAUGUUGCCAGCACGUGAUGGUGGGGACUCAUAGGAGACUGCCGGGGUCAACUCGGAGGAAGGUGGGGACGACGUCAAAUCAUCAUGCCCCUUAUGUCUUGGGCUUCACGCAUGCUACAAUGGCCGGUACAAAGGGUUGCGAUACUGUGAGGUGGAGCUAAUCCCAAAAAGCCGGUCUCAGUUCGGAUUGGGGUCUGCAACUCGACC
RNAcentral lists this ribosomal RNA (1045 nucleotides) under Pseudarthrobacter polychromogenes. Its description in RNAcentral is "bacterial SSU rRNA". It matches the Rfam family "Bacterial small subunit ribosomal RNA", at positions 261 to 1317 of the family's 1533-position model. Lineage: Bacteria; Bacillati; Actinomycetota; Actinomycetes; Micrococcales; Micrococcaceae. The record is from RNAcentral.